CCUGGCGGCCAUAGCGCCGUGGAACCACCUGAUCCCAUGCCGAACUCAGAAGUGAAACGCGGUAGCGCCGAUGGUAGUGUGGCA
Molecule: ribosomal RNA, 84 nt
Filed under: Aeromonas salmonicida
Lineage: Bacteria; Pseudomonadati; Pseudomonadota; Gammaproteobacteria; Aeromonadales; Aeromonadaceae
Also listed under: 1 other name
Source: RNAcentral